This 505-nucleotide ribosomal RNA is filed under the name uncultured bacterium. Its description in RNAcentral is "bacterial SSU rRNA". It matches the Rfam family "Bacterial small subunit ribosomal RNA", at positions 386 to 885 of the family's 1533-position model. The record is from RNAcentral.
ACGGAUCACGCCGCGUGAGUGAUGAAGGUUUUCGGAUCGUAAAACUCUGUUGUUAGGGAAGAACAAGGCAUAGUAACUGAUGGCACCUUGACGGUACCUAACCAGAAAGCCACGGCUAACUACGUGCCAGCAGCCGCGGUAAUACGUAGGUGGCAAGCGUUGUCCGGAAUUAUUGGGCGUAAAGCGCUCGCAGGCGGUUCUUUAAGUCUGAUGUGAAAUCUUACGGCUCAACCGUAAACGUGCAUUGGAAACUGGGGAACUUGAGUGCAGAAGAGGAGAGUGGAAUUCCACGUGUAGCGGUGAAAUGCGUAGAGAUGUGGAGGAACACCAGUGGCGAAGGCGACUCUCUGGUCUGUAACUGACGCUGAGGAGCGAAAGCGUGGGGAGCGAACAGGAUUAGAUACCCUGGUAGUCCACGCCGUAAACGAUGAGUGCUAGGUGUUAGGGGGUUUCCGCCCCUUAGUGCUGAAGUUAACGCAUUAAGCACUCCGCCUGGGGAGUACGG